This 468-nucleotide ribosomal RNA is filed under the name uncultured bacterium. RNAcentral's name for it is "partial 16S ribosomal RNA". It matches the Rfam family "Bacterial small subunit ribosomal RNA", at positions 28 to 507 of the family's 1533-position model. The record is from RNAcentral.
GACGAACGCUGGCGGCGUGCUUAACACAUGCAAGUCGAACGGAAAGGCCCUGCUUUUGUGGGGUGCUCGAGUGGCGAACGGGUGAGUAACACGUGAGUAACCUGCCCUUGACUUUGGGAUAACUUCAGGAAACUGGGGCUAAUACCGGAUAGGAGCUCCUGCUGCAUGGUGGGGGUUGGAAAGUUUCGGCGGUUGGGGAUGGACUCGCGGCUUAUCAGCUUGUUGGUGGGGUAGUGGCUUACCAAGGCUUUGACGGGUAGCCGGCCUGAGAGGGUGACCGGCCACAUUGGGACUGAGAUACGGCCCAGACUCCUACGGGAGGAAGCAGUGGGGAUUAUGGAACAAUGGGCGGAAGCCGGAUGAAGCAACGCCGCGGGCGGGAUGACGGCCUUCGGGUUGUAAACCGCUUUCGCCUGUGACGAAGCGUGAGUGACGGUAAUGGGUAAAGAAGCACCGGCUAACUACGUG